GCAUGUUCACAUGAUUAAAGGUAUUCCGGUAGACGAUGGGGAUGCGUUCCAUUAGAUAGUAGGCGGGGUAACGGCCCACCUAGUCUUCGAUGGAUAGGGGUUCUGAGAGGAAGGUCCCCCACAUUGGAACUGAGACACGGUCCAAACUCCUACGGGAGGCAGCAGUGAGGAAUAUUGGUCAAUGGGCGAGAGCCUGAACCAGCCAAGUAGCGUGAAGGAUGACUGCCCUAUGGGUUGUAAACUUCUUUUAUAAAGGAAUAAAGUCGGGUAUGCAUACCCGUUUGUAUGUACUUUAUGAAUAAGGAUCGGCUAACUCCGUGCCAGCAGCCGCGGUAAUACGGAGGAUCCGAGCGUUAUCCGGAUUUAUUGGGUUUAAAGGGAGCGUAGAUGGAUGUUUAAGUCAGUUGUGAAAGUUUGCGGCUCAACCGUAAAAUUGCAGUUGAUACUGGAUAUCUUGAGUGCAGUUGAGGCAGGCGGAAUUCGUGGUGUAGCGGUGAAAUGCUUAGAUAUCACGAAGAACUCCGAUUGCGAAGGCAGCCUGCUAAGCUGCAACUGACAUUGAGGCUCGAAAGUGUGGGUAUCAAACAGGAUUAGAUACCCUGGUAGUCCACACGGUAAACGAUGAAUACUCGCUGUUUGCGAUAUACAGCAAGCGGCC
RNAcentral lists this ribosomal RNA (658 nucleotides) under uncultured bacterium. RNAcentral describes it as "bacterial SSU rRNA". It matches the Rfam family "Bacterial small subunit ribosomal RNA", at positions 187 to 848 of the family's 1533-position model. The record is from RNAcentral.